RNAcentral lists this ribosomal RNA (498 nucleotides) under uncultured bacterium. RNAcentral's name for it is "partial 16S ribosomal RNA". It matches the Rfam family "Bacterial small subunit ribosomal RNA", at positions 29 to 523 of the family's 1533-position model. The record is from RNAcentral.
AUUGAACGCUGGCGGCAUGCUUUACACAUGCAAGUCGAACGGUAACAGGCCGCAAGGUGCUGACGAGUGGCGAACGGGUGAGUAAUGCAUCGGAACGUGCCCAGUCGUGGGGGAUAACGCAGCGAAAGGUGUGCUAAUACCGCAUACGAGCUAUGGAUGAAAGCGGGGGACCGUAAGGCCUCGCGCGAUUGGAGCGGCCGAUGUCAGAUUAGGUAGGUGGUGGGGGAAAGGCCCACCAAGCCAACGAUCUGUAGCUGGUCUGAGAGGACGACCAGCCACACUGGGACUGAGACACGGCCCAGACUCCUACGGGAGGCAGCAGUGGGGAAUUUUGGACAAUGGGCGCAAGCCUGAUCCAGCAAUGCCGCGUGCAGGAAGAAGGCCUUCGGGUUGUAAACUGCUUUUGUACGGAACGAAACGGUCUGGGUUAAUACCCUGGGCUAAUGACGGUACCGUAAGAAUAAGCACCGGCUAACUACGUGCCAGCAGCCGCGGUAA